AUGUUGACUGAAAACAGGAAACGUCAGCGCAGCGGUGGUGAUGAGGAGAGUGGCCACCUGGUGCCUCAAGCCAAAAGGCAGAGCAGAGCUCACCCUCUCUCUCCUGAGCCAGGCCGGGAUGCGUGGGACUCCGAGUCAUCCAACAGUGAGAGCAGCAGCAGCAUCAGCAGUCCAGAACAUGCGGCUGGGAGCUGUAGCAGUCAGUGUGUUGUGGGCCCCAGCAGCCCCCUCAGCUCAGGUGACUCAUCAGAACUGGCCGCUGGCCCUACAAGCCUAGUGUCCUACCUGCAGAUCAACCGCAUCCUGAAGCAUGCCCACUUCCAGAGCCUGCAGAGCCGAAGUCCGCUCCGAGACACAUGACGACCCAAUGUCUCUUUUCUGUCGGCCCACAGAGGACUGAGUCCCUGAGGCAUGCCAGAUCACCAAAUGCUGAUUCACUUCACUCAGCUCUUCCAACCCAUCUCCAGUUACUGUAAUAUGUUGCAGCUCUACAUAUCUGUGGGUGGAGACCUGCUCCUGGUCAGGUAUCUGGAGGGGGUUCAUCAUUCAAAUAAAUCAAGUGAUAAUCAUUUUAGCAAUAAUAACUGUGUGAUCAACUUAAACAUUUUGUGUGAUCCACUUAAUUUCGGACCAGUCUGGUUUACAUGCUGCUCUUGGAGCCUUAUUGUGACUGAUUGAUGAUGACGAAUCUCUGUGUUUUGUCUUAAAUGUUGUAUGAAAACAGUGCUACUGGAGCUGCAGAAAUGCCACCAAACAUGAUUUUAGGCCGGUCAGUGUGACUCGUUUAGUCUCCUAGUUGGGUACUUGGGUUGUAUAAUGCUGAAUCUGAUGUCUGUGUAUGUACAUGGACCAGUCUCAGGGAGGAUUUGCACUUGUCUUGGACUGCUCAUUUGCUUUCAUAUUCAGACAGGGACCUGUAGAACCAUGGAUGUUAACUUGACCAAGGAGUUUAUGUCCUUAUUUUCUUAGUUUGUAGAGUAUUUAGGUAUCAGUUAGAUUUAGUGGAGAGUCAUGCCAUGGGUUGAGUGAUUUUGGUUUUAGCGUGGUUUGCAAUUUGUUUUUAAAGGAUUUCAUUACAUUGCAACACUGUUAAUUUUCCAUCAACUACUGCACUUACUUGGCGAAUUUAUCCCAUAUUUACCAAUUAGUACAGAAUGUUUAUUGUUCCUAAUGCAGAUUCAAAUUUUAUAAACCAUUAUUAAAACAGGUGUUGCUUUCUCACAUUUCUUAUGAUUUAGUUCCCCCUGAUCAUUUCAUAGACUGACUACCCUCCGAGGUUACGUUUUCAGUUCGGUCUGUUACUAUGUCAGCAGGUUUACAGAAAAGCUACCGAUUUUUCAUGAAACUUGGUUGAAAUGUGGGCCAAGGAAGAACCCAUUACAUUUUAGACCAGAUUUGUAUAACAGGCCCGAUACACGCAUAAUUUUUCACUUAUGGAAAUGGGAUUGGCGGAGUUCUGCGCUCUCCGAGUGCCCUUGUACUUAUGUCCUGAUCUCAACAUAAGAAUCCCUUGUUUUUCUUGUGAUCGCUACAAAGUUUCCCGAUCAUUAAAUAGUAACGCUGUAGAUUUCGGCAUGGGAAAUCAUCUAUAAUCAAAUUCCACUGCUCAUAUUUGACAUCAGAUAUUUAUAUUUAAUUACAACAUCUGGCAUGUCUUUUCUAAUAAUUUGAAUGUCCGAAUGCAAGUUGAUCAUGGGAACAAAGCUUACUAAAUCGAGAUCAUGAGCGAAUCACAUUUUUAUGAGAUUAGGUUACAUAGAUUAAGCCGUUAAAGUUACUUUUGUUUUCUUGUGAUCAUGGAAAAAUGUAGUGAUCACAACAUUACCAGCUUUGUUUUUCUCAUGGCUACAAAAAGAAAAGAGAAAUAGUUACACCCAUGAACUCCACAACUUUCCAUACUCCUUUUUUUUUUUUUAGCGUUUUCAAUCUUAUUUUGAUUGUAAUAGAGGGCUGUGUGAUGUGGCAUUUGAGCAUGUAGGAAAAUUGUAGUCGUUUCUGUCCGAAGGGGAUCACAGCACAGCCUUUUAGGAACAAAAAGACAUUCCCUAGGCUUUGUUUGCAAUAUUACUGGAGCCACUGAAAUGCUGUUUUUAAUUGCAGACAAGCCUUUCUGCCUGUGCACUAACAUUCAAUGGUUGCUGUAUGUGUGUCCCUGUGCACUGAACAUCCAGGUACAAGCACUGACCGUGAGGCUGUGCGUCUCUCCUUUAUCUUAAAGCGGGAUUGGUUUCAUUGCCGAAGCCUCAUCCCAGGAGUAGGCUUAGCUGUUUUAAUUUCUUUCAGACUGGCGUGUCAGAAAUGAAAGCAUUUUGAAGAUAUGGUUUAUUUUUUUUCAAUUAUAUAUUUUUUGUAUUUAGUAAUGUACAUGACAUUAGCCUGCCAUUGAUUUUUUUUUUUUCUCCCUUGUAAAUACCCCUUCAUUUCCAAAAUAAAAAUUAAUGUUUUUGAACAAAGGCGUUAUUUUCUCUUUUUUUGAUUAAGCUGCAUUUAGCCCUUUUUCAAAAUGAUUGAAUAAAUCUGUUGCAUGGUGAUUCUGGGAGGAUCUGGGUUUAUUCAUACUGUUUCUUAUUGAGAAAAUGCCUAUUAGUGUUGCAUGUGAUGUAC
RNAcentral lists this long non-coding RNA (2604 nucleotides) under Cottoperca gobio. RNAcentral's name for it is "lncRNA (ENSCGOG00000004603.1)". The record is from RNAcentral. Lineage: Eukaryota; Metazoa; Chordata; Actinopteri; Perciformes; Bovichtidae.